Molecule: ribosomal RNA, 268 nt
Filed under: uncultured prokaryote
Description: partial 16S ribosomal RNA
Rfam family: Bacterial small subunit ribosomal RNA
Source: RNAcentral
UACGUAGGGAGCAAGCGUUAUUCGGAAUUACUGGGCGUAAAGAGUGCGUAGGCGGUCAGGUAAGUCAAAGGUGAAAUCUCUGCUCUCAAGGCAGAAACUGCCUUUGAUACUGCUUGACUCGAGGACAGGAGAGGAAAGUGGAACUCUGGAAGUAGCGGUGAAAUGCGUAGAUAUUCAGGGGAACGCCGGUGGCGAAAGCGGCUUUCUAGUCUGUCUCUGACGCUGAGGCACGAAAGCUAGGGUAGCGAUCGGGAUUAGAUACCCGGUA